RNAcentral lists this ribosomal RNA (244 nucleotides) under uncultured bacterium. Its description in RNAcentral is "partial 16S rRNA". It matches the Rfam family "Bacterial small subunit ribosomal RNA", at positions 505 to 748 of the family's 1533-position model. The record is from RNAcentral.
GUGCCAGCCGCCGCGGUAAAACGUAGGAGGCGAGCGUUAUCCGGAUUUACUGGGCGCAAAGCGCGUGUAGGCGGUUUGGAAAGUUGGAUGUGAAAGCUCCUGGCUUAACUAGGAGAGGUCGUUCAAAACUACCAGACUAGAGUAUGGGAGAGGGAGGCGGGAUUCCGGGUGGCGUGGUGAAAUGCGUAGAUAUCCCGAGGAACACCAGUGGCGAAAGCGGCCUCCUGGCCCAAAACUGACGCUA